GACGAACGCUGGCGGCGUGCUUAACACAUGCAAGUCGAACGGUGAAGCGCCUUCCUUUUUGGUGGGUGUGGAUGAGUGGCGAACGGGUGAGUAACACGUGAGUAACCUGCCCCCUUCUUCUGGAUAACCGCAUGAAAGUGUGGCUAAUACGGGAUAUUCUGGGUCUGUCGCAUGAUGGGUCUGGGAAAGAUAUUGUUUCGGUGGGGGAUGGGCUCGCGGCCUAUCAGCUUGUUGGUGGGGUGAUGGCCUACCAAGGCGGUGACGGGUAGCCGGCCUGAGAGGGUGGACGGUCACACUAGGGCUGAGACACGGCCCAGACUCCUACGGGAGGCAGCAGUGGGGAAUAUUGCACAAUGGGCGGAAGCCUGAUGCAGCGACGCCGCGUGAGGGAUGGAGGCCUUCGGGUUGUGAUCCUCUUUCGCCAGUGAAGCAGGCCUGCCUCGUUUGUGGGUGGGUUGACGGUAGCUGGAUAAGAAGCGCCGGCUAACUACGUG
Molecule: ribosomal RNA, 494 nt
Filed under: uncultured bacterium
Lineage: Bacteria
Description: partial 16S ribosomal RNA
Rfam family: Bacterial small subunit ribosomal RNA
Source: RNAcentral